GUACUUUACUGGUCAAGGUGUAUGAUAUGC
This 30-nucleotide non-coding RNA is filed under the name Homo sapiens (human). Lineage: Eukaryota; Metazoa; Chordata; Mammalia; Primates; Hominidae. The record is from RNAcentral.